AUGAUUGAUUUCACUCCCUAAAUCCAAAGCCCCCAAAUUGCGGACAACCCCCUAGCAAGAUUCAUCUUUAGAGCGGCCCUUUUUGGAAAGUGUGUGGUUUGUAAAUCUAUGAUACAAUUGAAAUAGAACCAUUGAGAGGUUUCAAAAUCUUAGACCUAUUAACGAACAAAGGGUUCCCAUUCGUGGAACCCUACCCACAUCCCAUUACUCCAAAAUUCCCACUGGAUUGAGGCAGUUGAAGCAAUUAUGUGUUGAAAAGUGAUUAUUAGAGCUCCAAUUAAGAGUGCCCAUUUGGGAUUGAGUAUUUGAAUCAUUAUAACCAGUAUUCAGCAUCUCUAUUCCUCGAUUUAAAGCCCUUUCACUAAACCCAUUAUCGCAAUCCAUAUCAAAUGUCCCUCUAAAAUAUUGCUGUGAAUUGGAUUCAUGAGUGUUAAUUUUUGUGGUAGAAAAUAAUUUAACUGGAUGGGGGCAUAGAAGUUAAUUGUAUUACACAUGGUUUGGCUGUUCUUCAAAUUCAGUGAUUCGACGACAGCCGAAGGUGGGGAGGAUGGCGACGACACCUGCUGGAAGUGAG
RNAcentral lists this long non-coding RNA (574 nucleotides) under Olea europaea subsp. europaea. Lineage: Eukaryota; Viridiplantae; Streptophyta; Magnoliopsida; Lamiales; Oleaceae. The record is from RNAcentral.